UGGGGAAUAUUGCGCAAUGGGGGGAACCCUGACGCAGCAACGCCGCGUGAAGGAUGAAGGCUUUCGGGUUGUAAACUUCUUUGAUGAGGGACGAAAGAAAUGACGGUACCUCAAAAACAAGCCACGGCUAACUACGUGCCAGCAGCCGCGGUAAUACGUAGGUGGCGAGCGUUGUCCGGAAUUACUGGGUGUAAAGGGCGUGUAGGCGGGGAUGCAAGUCAGAUGUGAAAUGCCGGGGCUUAACUCCGGAGCUGCAUCUGAAACUGUGUUCUUGAGUGUCGGAGAGGAAAGCGGAAUUCCCAGUGUAGCGGUGAAAUGCGUAGAUAUUGGGAGGAACACCAGUGGCGAAGGCGGCUUUCUGGACAAUAACUGACGCUGAGGCGCGAAAGCGUGGGGAGCAAACAGGAUUAGAUACCCUGGUAGUCACGCUGUAAACGAUGGAUACUAGGUGUAGGAGGUAUCGACCCCUUCUGUGCCGGAGUUAACACAAUAAGUAU
Molecule: ribosomal RNA, 497 nt
Filed under: uncultured bacterium
Lineage: Bacteria
Description: partial 16S ribosomal RNA
Rfam family: Bacterial small subunit ribosomal RNA
Source: RNAcentral